CUCCAGCUAGCCCCGCAAUAGCACUGCCAGCUAGGGAUCAAGCUUUCAAACGAACCAUCUUACUUUGGCCAACGAAAUGAAACUCAAGUGAUGAUCUCCGAGAGAAGGACUGAACUGCUGCCUGGUCCACUCUCCUCUCUUUGUUAUGGUGGCCUUGCUGACGUGAAGACAGGAUUUCUCUGCGGAGUCCUGGCUGUCCUGGAACUUGCUCUGUGGACCCGGUUGGCCUUGAACUCACAGAGAUCCACCUGCCUCUGUCUCUGAAUGUUGAGAUUAAAGACAUGUGCCACCAGCUGGGUUUGACUUUGCUUUUUAAAGAGAAGGGAGAAAUGCAGAGCUGAGUGAAAUAUUUGAUACAUAGAAGAGAAUGAGGAAAAGGCGG
This is a long non-coding RNA of Apodemus sylvaticus (European woodmouse), 382 nucleotides long. RefSeq lists it as uncharacterized. The record is from RefSeq and is a predicted model, not a curated record. Lineage: Eukaryota; Metazoa; Chordata; Mammalia; Rodentia; Muridae. The transcript is spliced from 3 exons.